This 253-nucleotide non-coding RNA is filed under the name Clostridium taeniosporum. Lineage: Bacteria; Bacillati; Bacillota; Clostridia; Eubacteriales; Clostridiaceae. The record is from RNAcentral.
UAAAAUAUUUAUGUUUUAGGUUCUAUAAGUAAUUGAUUUUACUUGAGAUUAAUAGGGAAAGUGGUUAAAAGCCACUACAGCCCCCGCUACUGUAAAGGGUGACUAGUUCUUUAAGGAAUAUGAAAAUAAACUAGCAUAUUGACUAGUUAAUUAUUUGAAUGUGCCUAAUAUCCACUGGAAUUUUAUCUGGGAAGGAAAAGAAUGUUUAGGAUGAUCCCUAAGUCAGGAGACCUGCCUAAAAUUUAUGCUAUCU